RNAcentral lists this ribosomal RNA (490 nucleotides) under uncultured bacterium. RNAcentral's name for it is "partial 16S ribosomal RNA". It matches the Rfam family "Bacterial small subunit ribosomal RNA", at positions 29 to 507 of the family's 1533-position model. The record is from RNAcentral.
AAUGAACGCUGGCGGCAUGCCUAACACAUGCAAGUCGAACGGUAACAGGAAUCAGCUUGCUGAUUCGCUGACGAGCGGCGGGCGGGUGAGUCAUGUCUGGGAAACUGCUUGAUGGAGGGGGUUAACUACUGGAAACGGUACCUAAUACCGCAUAACUUCGCAAGCUCAAUGAGGGGGACCUUCGGUCCUCUUGCCAUCGGGUGAGACCCGAUGGGAUCAGCUAGUAGGUGGUGGUAAGGCUCACCAAGGCGCCGAACCCUAGCUGGUCUGAGAGGAUGACAAGCCACACUGGAACUGAGACACGGUCCAGACUCCUACGGGAGGCAGCAGUGGGGACUAUUGCACAAUGGGGGAAAGCCUGAUGCAGCACUGCCGCGUGUAUGAUGAAGGACUUCGGGUUGUAAAGUACUUUCAGCGGGAAGGAAGGAAGUAAAGUUUAUCCCUUUGCUCAUUGACGUUACCCGCAGAAGAAGCCCCGGCUAACUCCGUG